Papaver somniferum (opium poppy) is the source of this 1572-nucleotide long non-coding RNA. RefSeq lists it as uncharacterized. The record is from RefSeq and is a predicted model, not a curated record. The transcript has 8 exons. Lineage: Eukaryota; Viridiplantae; Streptophyta; Magnoliopsida; Ranunculales; Papaveraceae.
ACCAAAUCUAUUCGUCUGGCUCUAAUUUUCCACUAAAAAACACAAUUUGUUCGUCACGAGGCUCAACCGUAGAAAUUGCCUUUAAUGUGCAGUUUACUUAUCUUUAAUUCUUUAUCGUGAAUUCUACAAGAUGCUCCAACUGGAUGACCCGAUUUUCAUUAAGGUGCUAUGCAUGUUUUCUUUAAUUUUACUCGGCACUCAUUUCAGUUCUUCUCCUCUCUCUGUCACUCUGAAAUGGGGAUUUCAUAAGUUCUACCACCGUCGUGAUAGUGCAGGAGAUUCAUAGUUCAGUGGACAUGUAAUAGCCUCAAAAUUCCUUACAGAUGAUUCUUCCAAAAAUCGCAAUGCUGAGAAAAAGCAAGUGAUGUAAGGAGAUCAAAUUUUAGCUGAAAAAGCUUAAGGACAGUGUUUGUGAUGCUGAUGACAUAAUGGAGGAAUCCUCUUAGGAAACCUAUUGCGUCUGCACCGAUAUACAGUUCGAAGCUGGCUAAAUUUCCGUCAGUAAUUAACUGAUUGCCAUGAUGACUUGUCGUCUCAUUAAAAUAAGAAAAGUUCUGUUGUGGUAUGAUGUAAACAACCUUUGUCAUUAUGAUCCGUUAAACUGCAACCUUAAAAAGAAGUAGUCGAUGAUCAUGCUGUGAGCUUCCAAGAUUUUCAAGCAAUUAUAUAUAUGAAAACCAAUGUUUCGUUGAAAAGAGAUUGAUGUGGAUCAAAAUAAUUGGAGAGUGUUUGCAGUCAUUGAAUAUUUGAUAUGUUACUGCACCGAACAAAUUAUUAUAUGGACGGAUCAUUAAUUCAGCACGCACUCUCAUUCUACUGGUUGAUGGUUGGUAAAUCUUGUAGGCGGAUUCAAAAUGCCCUUGCCAUCAAGCUUGCUUGUAUGCCUGAACAUUUUGUUGAAGAUGCAAUGGGACUGCUCAUUUUUGUAUCUCGGAUACCUAGAGCUCUGGAUGGGUUUAUGCUGGAUGAUUUUAUGAACUUCAUUAUAAUGUUUAUGGAGGGAAGUCCCUACUGUAUCCUUAUCUCAGAGCAAAGAUGGUAGAAGUCUUGAUCUGCUGGAUGCCAGAAGGAAGUGGUUCAUCUUCAACAGCUUCUCUUUUGAAGCUCAUCAAUUUUUCCUUGAGUUUCUUGUCGGGAAUCUUUUGAAGCUUCACGUACAUACUCAGUUUUAUGACAAGCUCAACAUACGUCAUAAUAUGACUUCUGGGGUAUCUAUGGCAGGUUCCUAGCCAUCACAAUGCAUUAGUAAAGAUUGCCAAAGAAGAGGAGAAGGGGUGUAUUUGAACUUUCUCAAAGCAUGUUUCUUGUAGACAGAAGUCUAAACAGAAUUCUUAAACUGAAAGAGAUAGAAAAGAGAAUUCUGAAACUGAAAGAGAUAGAAAAGAGAAUUCUGAAACUGAAAGAGAUAGAAAAGAGACGGUGAAUACCGUGGAAUGGGAAAGGAGGUCAUCUCAAGAGAGGCAAGAGAGAACCCGACAGUUCCAUUCUCAAGAGAAUGUUUUCUUUAAUUUUACUCAGCAAUCAUUUCAGUUCUCCUUUUCAUAAGUUCUACCCCAUUAUAUUUCGAUGCAA